ACCAAUUAAGACAGCUCCCAUCAUUUGCCCAUUCUGCAUGACAACUUUGACAUAUUCUUGUCCUUUGGUACAUCUCAGCAUUAAUUCAUGAUCUGAACCUAAACCUUGGGCAUUGUAUUUUCCCAGCAACACAACCUAAAUGUAGGAAUAAAAACAUAAAGGAAACACUGUAUGUAGUUAUACUGUGUUAUGCUAGAGUGGCCAGCAAGAAAAUCUAUUCAUGAAAAUUGGGGAGUGUCUCAAAGAAAACAUUUGAAUGGCACUGCAUUAAUGUAUGGAUGACACCACCACACAAUCUCCAUGAACAUUAAAAACAUCUAGUGAAUUAACUAUGUAGGAUCUGGACUACAUCAGCUUAGAAUCAUGAAGAAAAAACUUGCCUCAGAGUAAAGAGGAGUAAAUAGUACGUAUGGCAAAGCAGGUGGUUCAUAAAUAAUAAACAAACAUAUAUUUCUUUAUUUUUAGAGAACAGGGUAGAGGACCAGAGUCCCAAGCAAACUCCAUGCUAAGCACACAGCCGGAUGUGGGGCGCAAUCUCAUAUCUCUGAGAUCAGGACCUGAGCUGAAACCAAGACUUUCAAAAACCCAAGAGCUGGAAUACCACAUAUCUUGAAAUAGGAGUCAUGGGCCAGAUGGGUAACCAUAUGAGUGAAGCAGGGAAGAACUCACGAAUUAGAGCUGCUUUAGAGAAACAACUGCAAACUCUACUGCCCAUCUUGCCUGAAGCUCAUCUGAGGAUACUGCUGAUCACCUGGCAACACCCUUUCCAGAGCCUGCUGUCUGCAUUCCCAUGUGCAGUGGGUUACUGGGUCCUGCUGAGUUUAUAGCGGAAAUGUCACUCAUAUCUGGGCUGUUCUUUCCCAUUACACUGUCCCUGUCUUAGUUCAGGCCUUCUACCAUCCUGGAUCACUGUAGCCACCUUCUGAUCUGGUUGCUGGCCACAAGCCACUCACACCACCUUAUCCUUAAUACUGCUAUCAGAUCUGCCUUCCUAGGACAGUAUAUCAUCACUCUGCCUCCACUGAUGAUAAAUGAAUUUCCUGGCAUGAUGCAAACAGCUCUUUGCAGCCCUGUUUGGCCUCAUCUGCCCAUCUCCUUUCCUUGUCCCCACCUAGAGUCCUCUGACAGCGUCACUCAUCCAUAUGCCCCCUUCCUUUGCUUUCAGCCUUUGAAUAAGCAACCUCCUUUUCUUUCCUACAAUGCCCCUAAUUAAGAACUCUUACUUCACUCACCUUUUAAACCUGUUCAAACAUUACUCCCUCUGUGAAGUCCUCCCAAAUCCCUCAUAUCAGCCCUUUGAUAAGAGUUCAGUGACUGUGCUUUGCAUGUCCCUAGCAUCAUAUGCGUGCACGCGUAUAUUCCCCACAACACUGGGAGCUCCCAGGGCAGGUUCACUGUAAUGUUCCCGUCCCAGCACUUAACAUGGUGCCCAGAACAAAGUAGACACCAUACAAACAUUAAUGCUUAUGUAAAAUGUAAAACCGAAAAUGCUAAAUCAAACUAAUUAUAUAAUCCCAAUAAACUCACAAGAUGUGUAAGUUUUCCCAGUAAUAAUACAAAUCAAUGUUACUAAACUUUAUAUGCUAGGGCCCUUGGCCAUGGUGGGGGUACAGAUGGGGUCAAAAGAAAGCAGGCGAAAACUCAUCAAGAUUGAACAGUGGAUAGUCAUUAAGGAAAAAAAAAAUCCUCUUACAUGUUCUUUACUUUUCAGUUGCUUUACUUCGGAUUGUAUAACCUUAACGUUGGGAAAGCGAUUUUCUAACAUGGUUUUCGGUUGCUCUUCAACAUCAAACUCCUCUAAUACUUUAGAAACCUGUAUUAAAUCCGAAAGGUAAAAAUGUAUGUUUUUAAUGUUUCCUUUUAAAAAAUUUAAAUAAUAAAAAUACCGUCACUUCUUUUUAUA
Molecule: long non-coding RNA, 1903 nt
Organism: Canis lupus familiaris (dog)
Lineage: Eukaryota; Metazoa; Chordata; Mammalia; Carnivora; Canidae
Exons: 3
Source: RefSeq, a predicted model, not a curated record